UGAGGAAUCUUGCGCAAUGGGCGAAAGCCUGACGCAGCGACGCCGCGUGGAGGAUGAAGGCCUUCGGGUUGUAAACUUCUGUUAAGUGGGAAGAAAUCCUUAUCUUUAAUAGGGAUAGGGGAUGACGGUACCAUUAGAGAAAGCACUGGCUAAUCUCGUGCCAGCAGCCGCGGUAAUACGAGAGGUGCAAGCGUUAUUCGGAAUCAUUGGGCGUAAAGGGUGCGUAGACGGUGUGUUAAGUCUGUUGUUAAAUUCUCCGGCCUAACCGGAGGCAUGCGGUGGAAACUGGCGCACUAGAGGGUGGAAGAGAGAAGUGGAAUUCUCGGAGUAGCGGUAAAAUGCGUGGAUCUCGAGAGGAACACCAAUGGCGAAGGCAGCUUCUUGGUCCAUACCUGACGUUGAGGCACGAAAGCGUGGGGAGCAAACAGG
Molecule: ribosomal RNA, 429 nt
Filed under: uncultured bacterium
Lineage: Bacteria
Description: bacterial SSU rRNA
Rfam family: Bacterial small subunit ribosomal RNA
Source: RNAcentral